Molecule: non-coding RNA, 135 nt
Organism: Triticum aestivum (bread wheat)
Lineage: Eukaryota; Viridiplantae; Streptophyta; Magnoliopsida; Poales; Poaceae
Source: Rfam
GUAGUACUCCCUCCGUCCCAAAAUUCUUGUCUUAGAUUUGUCUAGAUACGGAUGUAUCAAGUCAUGUUUUAGUAUUAGAUACAUCCGUAUCUAGACAAUUCUAAGACAAGAAUUUUGAGACGGAGGCAGUAAUAA